Molecule: long non-coding RNA, 880 nt
Filed under: Mus musculus (house mouse)
Lineage: Eukaryota; Metazoa; Chordata; Mammalia; Rodentia; Muridae
Description: long non-coding RNA chr9:55191900-55192780
Source: RNAcentral
GUAAGUUUACAUAUUUACUUUUUUUGUGAUAGUAUGUGUCAGAGUCCUUUGCAGAACUGUCUGGAGCCUGGGAGGUCAGGAUUGCUGGACUUGACACAGGAUUUUGUGUCAGGUAGGUUGAAGGGGCUUGAGAACUUACCUUUCUGAGAAGUUCUCAACUGAAACUGAUAGUUUGGGGUCCACAUUCACAACCACAGGUACAAAUUACUUACUUAUAAGCAGACAUCCUAAUGGAGUUUAUUUAUAUGUGUUGACUCUUUAGAGAUGAGUUUCAGCUGAGUGUACCUGCCUGUAAUCUCAGUCUGUCAGAAACUGAUGCAGGAUUGUGAGUUCCAGGCCAGCUAGAGAGAUCCUUCCAAAUCUGUAUCUGGAUGUUAGGUAAUAUGGUCAGUAGCUAUCAAAAUACUGUCUUUAAAAAUGUUUUUCAAAUAUAAACCACGCUUGAGGAUUUCAGGAAAGUUUCCGUUACUGUGGUUCUCACAGGCCUGUGAUGCUGAGUGUGGUCACAGUGAUAAUCCGGUAACCCGAGGCAGCUGUGGAGCUCAUCUCUGCAUAAAUAGUUACUUAAUACAAUUGACUGGUGAUUGUCAUACAUCCGUACUGAAUUUUGUCCUGCUUCUUUUUGUAGUUAUGAAGCUAUGGGAGGCAUGACAAAGAUCAAGUUAAUUAUGAUAUAUUAUACAAUCCCCCAUAUGGGCUUCACUAAACUACUUGUAGGGGAGCAGGGGCGAUGGCUCCGUUGCUUAGAGUAGUUGUUUCUCUUGCAAAGGACUCAAAGUCAGUUUCUAGCACCCAUGUGAAGUGACUUACGGCUACCCAGUAUUUCAGCUCCAAGGGGUUUAAUCCCCCUUCCGGCCUCUGCAGGCACACACAUAAAUGG